CGCCCUCGCCGCCUGAGGCGUAGGGCAUGCCCGUCAACCCAGGAGCGGCUGCGGCCUGGGAUUUGGCGUCGACUAGCAGCCCACUGCCUGUUCGCCGCGUUGCCCGGCGGGCGGGGACUUCUAGGCAACUGAGCCCGGCGGCGCGUCGCCAGCAACAGCGCCGGGGCUGAGAAAACCGCUUGUUGGCUGCGCCCGGAGAAGACCUGUGCUUUGGCUCUCGGACGGGGGUUCAAUUCCCCCCAGCUCCACCA
This 251-nucleotide transfer-messenger RNA is filed under the name Bifidobacteriaceae bacterium. RNAcentral's name for it is "partial transfer-messenger RNA". It matches the Rfam family "transfer-messenger RNA", at positions 113 to 374 of the family's 374-position model. Rfam says of the family: Bacterial tmRNA, also known as 10Sa RNA or SsrA, is named for its dual tRNA and mRNA-like properties. The record is from RNAcentral. Lineage: Bacteria; Bacillati; Actinomycetota; Actinomycetes; Bifidobacteriales; Bifidobacteriaceae.